RNAcentral lists this ribosomal RNA (652 nucleotides) under Salmonella enterica. Its description in RNAcentral is "partial 23S ribosomal RNA". It matches the Rfam family "Bacterial large subunit ribosomal RNA", at positions 2151 to 2802 of the family's 2925-position model. RNAcentral also lists the same sequence under 1 other name. Lineage: Bacteria; Pseudomonadati; Pseudomonadota; Gammaproteobacteria; Enterobacterales; Enterobacteriaceae. The record is from RNAcentral.
GAGGCUUUGAAGUGUGGACGCCAGUCUGCAUGGAGCCGACCUUGAAAUACCACCCUUUAAUGUUUGAUGUUCUAACGUGGACCCGUGAUCCGGGUUGCGGACAGUGUCUGGUGGGUAGUUUGACUGGGGCGGUCUCCUCCUAAAGAGUAACGGAGGAGCACGAAGGUUGGCUAAUCCUGGUCGGACAUCAGGAGGUUAGUGCAAUGGCAUAAGCCAGCUUGACUGCGAGCGUGACGGCGCGAGCAGGUGCGAAAGCAGGUCAUAGUGAUCCGGUGGUUCUGAAUGGAAGGGCCAUCGCUCAACGGAUAAAAGGUACUCCGGGGAUAACAGGCUGAUACCGCCCAAGAGUUCAUAUCGACGGCGGUGUUUGGCACCUCGAUGUCGGCUCAUCACAUCCUGGGGCUGAAGUAGGUCCCAAGGGUAUGGCUGUUCGCCAUUUAAAGUGGUACGCGAGCUGGGUUUAGAACGUCGUGAGACAGUUCGGUCCCUAUCUGCCGUGGGCGCUGGAGAACUGAGGGGGGCUGCUCCUAGUACGAGAGGACCGGAGUGGACGCAUCACUGGUGUUCGGGUUGUCAUGCCAAUGGCACUGCCCGGUAGCUAAAUGCGGAAGAGAUAAGUGCUGAAAGCAUCUAAGCACGAAACUUGCCCCGA